GGCUGGAAGGGCCCUGCCCAGAGCAGCAGCUGCUGCAUGCUGAGAGGAACUAUGAGGACCCUGUGGGUGCCCAAAGAGGCUUCUGUGCCCAGACCUGCGUUAAAGAUAAAGGAAAUCAGCUACAGUGAAGAAUUACAAGAGUUAGAUUAGUUUUGUGAUGUUACUAGACUUGAGAGUGAGUAGCAGGAGAGCAGAAUGCAGAAAAUGAAGUGGAGAAGAGAGGUGGACCCAAAGAAGGCAAGGGGAAAAGGCACAGACAAGAUCCCUCCAGAGCACAAAAAGAAGAAAAAGUGGAGUGGUAGACAUCGUUUAACUUCAGUUGGCACUGGAAGUAUCGCCUUUUACAGGAUGUCCACAGCACCACUGCCAAAUAUGAUCCAAAAGAUCACUGUGGGAUUCCUGGCAUCCUUGCCUCUGUUACACCUUUGAGUACAAGUGAGCAUGGGUUAUCACUGCCAACAAAUUCAUAUGACCAGUUCUGUGUGCUAGGUUACCUCAUGUGUGAUCUUGACAAAUUCUGGGCCCUUCUCUAUGCUGUAGUGUGGGAGCCAGGACAAUGUAAGAACAAUGGCAAUUGGCUCAAGUUCUCACCUGAAAGACCUCACUGGGCUUACUUCACUAGUUUCACUCUUCUCUGUAAUCAAGUUGAUGAAAAGCAACUUAAUGGAAUCAUUUGAUUUUGCUAUGAAGUGCUUGGACUAGCAUAUAAAAUUUCUUGCCAUCUAAUUUUUGUAAAGCUGUUAAAAACUGUAAUGAAGAUAAACAAUAGAAAACAACAACUAUAAAAAUACUCUUCAGAGUUAUGAUUAAUUUCUACCUUAUUUAGGUCUUGCAUUCUGACUAGACAUAACUCAAUGUUUGUCUCAGACAAUGCAUGUGAGCUAAGAAGUGGAGCUGUUUGUGUUUUGGUGGUUCAUUCGUUUAUUCUUCCAGACUGUGGAGAGCUGGUGUUGUCACAGCAAGGCAGCCAUAACAGUCCCAGAGUUGGGGCUCUGAGGAGAAGGCAGGACUGAUGGCACCUGCCCAGGGGUCCUUUGGGAAAUUGUGGCAGCUUGGCAGCUCCUUCCUUCAGCAGUCUGGAAGAGCACUUAGCCAGAGUCCCUGAGGGCUGUAGGAUGGGUAGGUGGAAAAGGGUUCAAGCGGAAUAGAGACAGGCAGUUAGGUCUGUCUGCAAAAGGAAUUGCUGGUCUGAUUUAUGUGUCUGCC
Numida meleagris (helmeted guineafowl) is the source of this 1206-nucleotide long non-coding RNA. RefSeq lists it as uncharacterized. The record is from RefSeq and is a predicted model, not a curated record. Lineage: Eukaryota; Metazoa; Chordata; Aves; Galliformes; Numididae. The transcript is spliced from 4 exons.